RNAcentral lists this long non-coding RNA (464 nucleotides) under Spirodela polyrhiza (greater duckweed). RNAcentral describes it as "long non-coding RNA (SPOL_LNC000456)". The record is from RNAcentral. Lineage: Eukaryota; Viridiplantae; Streptophyta; Magnoliopsida; Alismatales; Araceae.
GGUGGCGCCCUUGGCCACGAAGCUGAUGGCGUUGUACGCCCUCAUCGGCGCGCUCAGAGAGAAGCUCGCCGCGGCCGGGGAAGCGGCAGCGGCGGCGGCGGCGCCGAGCCGGACGGCCUCGCCGGGGGAGAACGCCGCCGCGCCGAGGAUGUAGCAGCCGGGGCGAGCCAGCGACUCCAAGGAGAUGGUGCCGUUGUUACCGUCCAGCCCGGCGACGACGCGGAAGGUGGAGUCCGCCGGUGCCGCGUCGGCGGCGGCGGCGACGGUGAGGACCCCGUCUGGUGCCGCCGGCGCCGCCACCACCAUGCCGGGGAGGUCGAGGGGCUCGAGCAUCACUAGCUGCUCCGGCGCCGGCGAAGCGCUCGCCGGGACGAGGCGGAAGGUGGCGUGGACGGCGGCGUCGGAGCCCUCGCGGGGGAGCGCCGCCAUGGCGAUGGAGCCGUUCGAGUAGGAGAGGACCAGAG